AAACGGUGGUAAUGCCGGAUGCUCCAGUUGAUCGCAUGGUCUUCUGGGAAAGCUUUCGCGGUAUGGGAUGGGGUCGCGUCCUAUCAGCUUGACGGCGGGGUAACGGCCCACCGUGGCUUCGACGGGUAGCCGGCCUGAGAGGGCGACCGGCCACAUUGGGACUGAGAUACGGCCCAGACUCCUACGGGAGGCAGCAGUGGGGAAUAUUGCACAAUGGGCGCAAGCCUGAUGCAGCGACGCCGCGUGAGGGAUGGAGGCCUUCGGGUUGUAAACCUCUUUUAUCGGGGAGCAAGCGAGAGUGAGUUUACCCGUUGAAUAAGCACCGGCUAACUACGUGCCAGCAGCCGCGGUAAUACGUAGGGUGCAAGCGUUAUCCGGAAUUAUUGGGCGUAAAGGGCUCGUAGGCGGUUCGUCGCGUCCGGUGUGAAAGUCCAUCGCUUAACGGUGGAUCCGCGCCGGGUACGGGCGGGCUUGAGUGCGGUAGGGGAGACUGGAAUUCCCGGUGUAACGGUGGAAUGUGUAGAUAUCGAAAAGAGAACACC
Molecule: ribosomal RNA, 542 nt
Filed under: Bifidobacterium longum subsp. suillum
Lineage: Bacteria; Bacillati; Actinomycetota; Actinomycetes; Bifidobacteriales; Bifidobacteriaceae
Description: bacterial SSU rRNA
Rfam family: Bacterial small subunit ribosomal RNA
Source: RNAcentral